ACGCACAUUGCUAUAAAAAGGCAGAAUAUUUUUUGUGAGCCACUCUUGAGAGUACUCUGAGCUGAACAUGAAAACUAUAGUGCUGCUGUUAGGAGUGUUCGUGGCCUUUUUAGGGAUGGCGGCGGCCGGCGAUAUUCCCCCAUUAUGGCACCUUCGAACAUCUAAACUAUGCGGAUGUAAACCAGAAAAGGAAUUUUGCGCCAGCUACGACCAUAAGACUUAUCACAGUGUUUGCGAGUUCGAGUGCGUGAACCCUGGACUAGUAGGUUGG
Molecule: long non-coding RNA, 271 nt
Organism: Cydia splendana
Lineage: Eukaryota; Metazoa; Arthropoda; Insecta; Lepidoptera; Tortricidae
Exons: 2
Source: RefSeq, a predicted model, not a curated record